Molecule: ribosomal RNA, 1962 nt
Filed under: human gut metagenome
Description: bacterial LSU rRNA
Rfam family: Bacterial large subunit ribosomal RNA
Source: RNAcentral
GUAAAUAAUUAAGGGCGUAUGGUGGAUGCCUAGGCUCUCAGAGGCGAAGAAGGACGUGAUAAGCUGCGAAAAGCUCCGUUUAGGUGCAAAUAACCUUUGAUGCGGAGAUCUCCGAAUGGGAUAACCCAAUAUGUUGAAGACAUAUUAUACCGUAAGGUAGGCAAACGCAGGGAACUGAAACAUCUAAGUACCUGCAGGAGAAGAAAACAAAAGUGAUUCCCCCAGUAGCGGCGAGCGACCGGGGAUAAGCCCAAACCGUUAUUGUUUCGGCAGUAGCGGGGUAGUAGGACUGCGACAUUGAUGAAAUAAAUGAAAUGGAACACCUUGGAAAAUGUGAUCACAGAGGGUGAUAAUCCCGUACAUGCAAGUUUAUGAAUCAUAGCAGACUCCUGAGUAAGUCGGGACACGUGUAAUCCUGACCGAAUCCGCCGGGACCAUCCGGCAAGGCUAAAUACUCCUGAGAGACCGAUAGUGAACCAGUACCGUGAGGGAAAGGUGAAAAGCACUUCGAACAGAAGAGUGAAAUAGUCCCUGAACCCAUACGCCUACAAGCUGUCGGAGCCGCUUCGUGCGGUGACGGCGUGCCUUUUGCAUAAUGAGCCUACGAGUUACUCAUCACCAGCGAGGUUAAGUACUUCAGGUACGUAAGCCGAAGCGAAAGCGAGUCUGAAUAGGGCGUCAAGUUGGUGGUGGUAGACGCGAAACCUUAGUGAUCUACCCAUGGGCAGGGUGAAGGUUUGGUAACACAAACUGGAGGCCCGAACCGGUAAACGUUGAAAAGUUUUCGGAUGACCUGUGGGUAGGGGUGAAAGGCCAAUCAAACUGGGAAAUAGCUCGUACUCUCCGAAAUGCAUUUAGGUGCAGCCUCUGUUGUUUUGUUCUAGAGGUAGAGCUACUGAUUGGAUGCGAGGGCUUCACCGCCUAUCAAAUCCGGCCAAACUCCGAAUGCUAGAACAUGAAGACAGGGAGUGAGCCAGCGGGUGCUAAGGUCCGUUGACGAAAGAGGGAGAACUCAGACCAUCAGCUAAGGUCCCCAAUUAUAUGCUAAGUUGGAAUUAAAACGGGGUGGGACUGCUUAGACAGCUAGGAUGUUGGCUUGGAAGCAGCCAUUCAUUUAAAGAGUGCGUAACAGCUCACUAGUCGAGCGGUCCUGCAUGGAUAAUACGCGGGCAUAAGCAUAUAACCGAAGCUAUGGGAUUGUAGAUGAUACAAUCGGUAGGAGAGCAUUCCAUUCAGCAUAGAAGCAGUACCGUGAGGUAUUGUGGAGCGGAUGGAAAAGCAAAUGUAGGCAUAAGUAACGAUAAUGCGGGUGAGAACCCCGCACGCCGAAAGAUCAAGGAUUCCCCGGCAAUGUCAAUCAUCCGGGGGUAAGUCGGAUCCUAAGGGUAAGCCGAGUGGCGAUCCCGAUGGCAAACAGGUUAAUAUUCCUGUACUGAUCAUAACUGCGAUGCAGCGACGCAGAGGUGACACUGCUGCGUACUGACGGAAUAGUACGUUGAAACCCGUAUUCUUUGAUACCGGUAGUGAAGCACGCCGGUAGAGAUGAAAGGUGAUAGUACCGCAAUGCUUCGGUUGCGCGGAUAAUGCAGGUAAGCUGACUGCCAAGAAAACCUGCUAAGCUUCAGGUAAUGAUCAUCCGUACUGUAAACGGACACACGUGAUCAGGUAGAAAAUACUAAGGCGCUCGAGAGAUUCAUGGUUAAGGAACUAGGCAAAAUGGUCCUGUAACUUCGGGAUAAAGGACGCUCUUGUGAAAGAGCCGCAGAUAAUAGGCCCAGGCGACUGUUUACCAAAAACACAUGGCUAUGCUAAUUCGCAAGAAGAUGUAUAUGGCCUGACACCUGCCCGGUGCCGGAAGGUUAAGAGGAGAGCUCAGAGGCAACUCGAAGGUUUGAAUUGAAGCCCCGGUAAACGGCGGCCGUAACUAUAACGGUCCUAAGGUAGCGAAAUUCCUUGUCGGGU